CAUUCGAGUGGCGGACGGGUGAGUAACGCGUGGGUAACCUGCCUUACGCAGGGGGAUAACACCUGGAAACAGGUGCUAAUACCGCAUAAGCGCACAGGGCCGCAUGGCCCGGUGUGAAAAACUCCGGUGGUGUAAGAUGGACCCGCGUCUGAUUAGCUUGUUGGCGGGGUAGGGGCCCACCAAGGCGACGAUCAGUAGCCGGCCUGAGAGGGUGGACGGCCACAUUGGGACUGAGACACGGCCCAAACUCCUACGGGAGGCAGCAG
Molecule: ribosomal RNA, 266 nt
Filed under: uncultured bacterium
Lineage: Bacteria
Description: partial 16S ribosomal RNA
Rfam family: Bacterial small subunit ribosomal RNA
Source: RNAcentral